This 425-nucleotide ribosomal RNA is filed under the name uncultured bacterium. RNAcentral describes it as "partial 16S ribosomal RNA". It matches the Rfam family "Bacterial small subunit ribosomal RNA", at positions 354 to 796 of the family's 1533-position model. The record is from RNAcentral.
GUGGGGAAUCUUAGACAAUGGGGGAAACCCUGAUCUAGCCAUGCCGCGUGAGCGAUGAAGGCCUUAGGGUUGUAAAGCUCUUUCAGCUGGGAAGAUAAUGACUGUACCAGCAGAAGAAGCCCCGGCUAACUCCGUGCCAGCAGCCGCGGUAAUACGGAGGGGGCUAGCGUUGUUCGGAAUUACUGGGCGUAAAGCGCACGUAGGCGGACCGGAAAGUCAGAGGUGAAAUCCCAGGGCUCAACCUUGGAACUGCCUUUGAAACUCCUGGUCUUGAGGUCGAGAGAGGUGAGUGGAAUUCCGAGUGUAGAGGUGAAAUUCGUAGAUAUUCGGAAGAACACCAGUGGCGAAGGCGACUCACUGGCCCAAUACUGACGCUGAGGCGCGAAAGCGUGGGGAGCAAACAGGAUUAGAUACCCCGGUAGUCC